Sander lucioperca (pikeperch) is the source of this 573-nucleotide long non-coding RNA. RefSeq lists it as uncharacterized. The record is from RefSeq and is a predicted model, not a curated record. The transcript is spliced from 3 exons. NCBI's taxonomy places the organism in Eukaryota, Metazoa, Chordata, Actinopteri, Perciformes, Percidae.
CGGGACUCGUGUGGUGGCCUAGCUCGUAACAGAUGCGACUUGUCAAACUGGAUGGAAGAGUAUAUCCUGCUCAUAUACAUGUCAAGGGAGCCCGCCUGAAAACAACAACAUCCCCUAACAAUAUUAAAGCAUAUGCGUGCUUAGCUGACUGUAGAUCAGCUGGUAACUUAUGGAUCCAACGUGCAGCUUUGAGCUAACGUUAACGUUACCAGAACACAUACUGUAGAUUUUGUCCCCCAUCUCCCACAUUGCAAUCACAAAAGGAUCUCUUUACACUCAGUGUGGCCAGGAGGAACAAUUACAGUGACCAAUAACUCUUUCAAUGUACAAAUGGGCAUACGCCACAGUGAGGCCGUUUGCUGACGACUUCCACAGGCAGACGAGAAGGAAUCCUGAACAUCAUUUGAAUGAAUCUCCAAGAAAGAUUUUCAUUUAUCAUCUGCUGCAGCGCAAGACUUGUUUCACAGCUGUGACACUGAAGCCCUUAGACUUCAUCUUAACCUUAAUGUCCUCUUGAGUCUGUUUAAAUGGAGUCUUCAUCAGAUAGACUAUCCUCCUGAAACCUUCCUCUAG